UAGCGGCGGACGGGUGAGUAACACGUGGGUAACCUGCCCAUAAGACUGGGAUAACUCCGGGAAACCGGGGCUAAUACCGGAUAACAUUUUUGAACUGCAUGGUUCGAAAUUUGAAAGGCGGCUUCGGCUGUCACUUAUGGAUGGACCCGCGUCGCAUUAGCUAGUUGGUGAGGUAACGGCUCACCAAGGCAACGAUGCGUAGCCGACCUGAGAGGGUGAUCGGCCACACUGGGACUGAGACACGGCCCAGACUCCUACGGGAGGCAGCAGUAGGGAAUCUUCCGCAAUGGACGAAAGUCUGACGGAGCAACGCCGCGUGAGUGAUGAAGGCUUUCGGGUCGUAAAACUCUGUUGUUAGGGAAGAACAAGUGCUAGUUGAAUAAGCUGGCACCUUGACGGUACCUAACCAGAAAGCCACGGCUAACUACGUGCCAGCAGCCGCGGUAAUACGUAGGUGGCAAGCGUUAUCCGGAAUUAUUGGGCGUAAAGCGCGCGCAGGUGGUUUCUUAAGUCUGAUGUGAAAGCCCACGGCUCAACCGUGGAGGGUCAUUGGAAA
Molecule: ribosomal RNA, 556 nt
Filed under: Bacillus sp. CH338_11D
Lineage: Bacteria; Bacillati; Bacillota; Bacilli; Caryophanales; Bacillaceae
Description: bacterial SSU rRNA
Rfam family: Bacterial small subunit ribosomal RNA
Source: RNAcentral